GAUGAGGAGGGUUCUAGAGUUAGGAUAUUUUGUAUGGAAGAGUGUGGAAGUUGCCACAUGAUAACACCACAAUGAUCAUGAGCACCUAUAAAUAAAGGUGCUCCCCUUCCUCCUAGUCAUACCAUGGCAUAGAGUGGCAUGUGAGCCAUAGGUGAAGAGAUGGCAAGGUUGCCAUGUAGUUUAGUGGUGUCAUGGUAGGGUAGCCACAUAAAGAGUGUAAGAGUGAGUGUUGUAUCAAGUUGUGAGUAGGUGAAUAAAAGAUUUGAGUUCCUUGUAGAGAGUUGGUCUCCCGUGUUGGUGUCGGUGUGAAGAUCUCCUUAGAAUAGUGUGGGUAUAAGGUCCACAGAAGAAAUGGUGUCACACCACUUUAGUGCCACUUUUAGGAAUUAGUGUCAAGGUUUGGAUGCCGAUUUCUCAACAAUUGAUAUCAGAGUAGGUCGGUCAGGGACCGUCAUUGGGAGGAGUUUUGUGGUGAGUGCGGGGCACUCAUAGUGGUCGGUACAGUUGUUGGUAGGCACAGGGCACUUACAUUACUCGGUGUGGCACUGAGAGGCGCUAAAGGGAGACUCUGUCAGAGAUCACAGUCCGGGACUGUGAAGGAAUGCUGGUUCGAGACCAAGCGUAGGUGAUGCUGGGUGUCAGUUGAGAUGGCGAAUCUCUUGAGCGCAGGAGGCAUGAGGAAGCUCAAUAGCUACAACUAUGGCUAUUGGUAGACCUGUAUAGAGUCCUACUUGAUGGGUCAGGACCUAUGGGAGGUCGUAGCAGGCAUCGAGAAAAC
Molecule: long non-coding RNA, 778 nt
Filed under: Setaria viridis
Lineage: Eukaryota; Viridiplantae; Streptophyta; Magnoliopsida; Poales; Poaceae
Description: long non-coding RNA (SVIR_LNC007335)
Source: RNAcentral